RNAcentral lists this ribosomal RNA (486 nucleotides) under uncultured Methanosaeta sp. RNAcentral describes it as "bacterial SSU rRNA". It matches the Rfam family "Archaeal small subunit ribosomal RNA", at positions 853 to 1338 of the family's 1478-position model. Lineage: Archaea; Methanobacteriati; Methanobacteriota; Methanomicrobia; Methanotrichales; Methanotrichaceae. The record is from RNAcentral.
AACUUAAAGGAAGUUGACGGGGAGCACCACAACGGGUGGAGCUUGCGGUUUAAUUGGAUUCAACGCCGGAAAUCUUACCGGGACCGACAGCAAUAUGAAGGCCAGGCUGAAGACUUUGCCGGAUUAGCUGAGAGGUGGUGCAUGGCCGUCGUCAGUUCGUACUGUGAAGCAUCCUGUUAAGUCAGGCAACGAGCGAGACCCACACCCACAGUUGCCAGCGUACUCUCUGGAGUGACGGGUACACUGUGGGGACCGCCGCUGCUAAAGCGGAGGAAGGAAUGGGCAACGGUAGGUCAGUAUGCCCCGAAUAUCCCGGGCUACACGCGAGCUACAAUGGUUGGUACAAUGGGUAUCUACCCCGAAAGGGGACGGGAAUCUCCUAAAACCAAUCUUAGUUCGGAUUGAGGGCUGCAACUCGCCCUCAUGAAGCUGGAAUCCGUAGUAAUCGCGUUUCAACAGAACGCGGUGAAUACGUCCCUGCUCCUU